UACAGAGGUCCCAAGCGUUGUUCGGAUUCAUUGGUCGUAAAGGGUGCGUAGGCGGCGCGGUAAGUCGGGUGUGAAAUCUCGGGGCUUAACUCCGAAACUGCAUUCGAUACUGCCGUGCUUGAGGACUGGAGAGGAGACUGGAAUUUACGGUGUAGCGGUGAAAUGCGUAGAUAUCGUAAGGAAGACCAGUGGCGAAGGCGGGUCUCUGGACAGUUCCUGACGCUGAGGCACGAAGGCCAGGGGAGCAAACGGG
This 253-nucleotide ribosomal RNA is filed under the name uncultured bacterium. RNAcentral describes it as "partial 16S ribosomal RNA". It matches the Rfam family "Bacterial small subunit ribosomal RNA", at positions 524 to 776 of the family's 1533-position model. The record is from RNAcentral.